AUGGUUGAAGAGAGCAAGUCUGCUAGGGUGAAUGAUAAUCUUAAAAGUGCUUUAACUAUUCACCAUCUGACAGAAGAAAAGAACAAGCUGGAUGUAGACUAUGACAAGUUAGUGAAAGAUCUGCAUCAACUUGUGGAUAUGCAGGAGGAUAGGGUUGUGGGUUUCAAAUAUCUGCAGUCCAACAUCACAUAUCAGCACCAAUGCAGAGUUGAAUUGGUGGUUGGUAUGAAGGCAGAAAUGGCAAAGAAAGAUGCAGUUAUAAAGAAGCUUAAUCAGAAGUAUGAACUCCUGUGCAACCAGACAAGUGCUCAAGCAACUGUCAUCCAGAACUUGAAGUUGAAGAAUAUGAAAGAGAAGGAAUUGCUGUUUGAGGCUAGGAUGAAUUUGGAGUUAAAGAAUGCAGAGUUCACAAAGAUUGAGGAGAAGCUCACCCAAGAGAAGCUAGAGUUGAUGUUUCAAGUUGCUAAUCUGCUGAAAGGAAAGGAAAAGCAUAAUGAAGAGAAGUAUAUGCUAGAGCUUAAGAUUGUUGAGCUCAUGAAGGGAGAGGAGAAGCUCAAGGAGAAGAUCAAGGGGAUCUAG
This 579-nucleotide ribosomal RNA is filed under the name Triticum aestivum (bread wheat). Its description in RNAcentral is "partial small subunit ribosomal RNA". Lineage: Eukaryota; Viridiplantae; Streptophyta; Magnoliopsida; Poales; Poaceae. The record is from RNAcentral.